AGACUGACUAAACGAUGCCUCCGUAAUAGCUGCUUCCCAUUUUUACGUUUCGUCUAAAAUAACCAACGCCAAUACUUACUGACCUACUCUACCUUUAAAGCCAUUUGAAUUAAACUCUUUUGGUUUGAUUAAUAAUCUGAAGUAAAAAUAAUAAUUGACAAGACGUUUUCCUUUAAAAAGAAAGUUACAAUCUGCUCGAAUCUAAGAUUAUUAGCGAAUUUGUAAAAGCGCAAAAUGGGCGGCGAUCUUGGUCUUGAAGCAUUUGGUAAUCUAGCCCAAAUUCGCGGCAUAUUGUAUUACAAAUUAUCGCCCAACGAGCAAAAACCUUUUGCAACCGCAUUUAGAUAUGGAAUUAUUAAUUUUAUACCAAGAACUACGGCAACAAUGUACACUUGGCUACCAAUUUUUUUAAUUGGAUGGUUAACACAGCGGACGCUGGAUGAAGUUCAUCGUAAAUCUAAAAGAAAAAAUGUGAGAGACUUCUUGAACGAAAAGGAGGAGCCGCGUUGUCCCGUUAUAUAAUUCAACGUAAACGUUUCCGUUACUAAUUAGAUUUUUAAAUCUUGUUUUAACACGUAGUGAAAAUUCUGUGUAAUUGAUAGACACAAUUUGGCUGAUUUUCGGUACUACCUGUUAGUGCUCCUACUUGAUAAUUAGAGACACCGUAUAGGUCUUUUUUUGUACUCUGUCCUAAAUUAUAGUCCUGAAAGAUAUAA
Long non-coding RNA from Trichoplusia ni (cabbage looper), 716 nucleotides. RefSeq lists it as uncharacterized. The record is from RefSeq and is a predicted model, not a curated record. The transcript has 2 exons. Lineage: Eukaryota; Metazoa; Arthropoda; Insecta; Lepidoptera; Noctuidae.